UACGGAGGGGGCGAGCGUUAUUCGGAAUUAUUGGGCGUAAAGGGCGCGUAGGCGGCCUUGUAAGUCAAAGGUGAAAUCCCUCGGCUCAACUGAGGAACUGCCUUUGAAACUGCAAGGCUUGAGGCCGGGGGGGGGUAGCGGAACUGCGAGUGUAGAGGUGAAAUUCGUAGAUAUUCGCAAGAACACCAGUGGCGAAGGCGGCUCACUGGCCCGGUACUGACGCUGAGGCACGAAAGCGUGGGGAGCAAACAGG
This 253-nucleotide ribosomal RNA is filed under the name uncultured bacterium. Its description in RNAcentral is "partial 16S ribosomal RNA". It matches the Rfam family "Bacterial small subunit ribosomal RNA", at positions 524 to 776 of the family's 1533-position model. The record is from RNAcentral.